GACGAACCGUGCGAACGUUAUUCGGAAUCACUGGGCUUAAAGGGCGCGUAGGCGGGCUGCCAAGUCUGGGGUGAAAUCCUCCGGCUCAACCGGAGAACUGCCUUAGAUACUGGCGAUCUCGAGGAGGGUAGGGGCAUGCGGAACUAUGGGUGGAGCGGUGAAAUGCGUUGAUAUCCAUAGGAACUCCGGUGGCGAAGGCGGCGUGCUGGACCCUUUCUGACGCUGAGACGCGAAAGCGUGGGGAGCAAACAGG
RNAcentral lists this ribosomal RNA (253 nucleotides) under uncultured bacterium. RNAcentral's name for it is "partial 16S ribosomal RNA". It matches the Rfam family "Bacterial small subunit ribosomal RNA", at positions 524 to 776 of the family's 1533-position model. The record is from RNAcentral.